This is a long non-coding RNA of Centrocercus urophasianus (Greater sage-grouse), 1610 nucleotides long. RefSeq lists it as uncharacterized. The record is from RefSeq and is a predicted model, not a curated record. NCBI's taxonomy places the organism in Eukaryota, Metazoa, Chordata, Aves, Galliformes, Phasianidae. The transcript has 3 exons.
GAUGAGGAGGGAUUUCCUAAUUAAAAUUUACAGCCUAAAUGGAGAAUCUGAUUCUAGGUGAAGAAAAGAAGAAAAAUAACUAUAAAUUACAAAAACAUAGUAUGAGCCAGAUCCUCACCAUCUACUGAUGUAAGUUAGCAAAACUCCAUUUAAUGUAACUACCUUCAUUUACGUUGAAUCUUCUACGUACAGUCAAAACAUAUGUACUAUCUGUUAAAGUGCUUACCUUCAUUUUUUCUUCUCUUGAGGUACUCUUUACAUCGGGGAAUGCAGAUUACAGCAGGAGUUAACCUCAGCUUUCCCGAAAACUGUCAUCUGAUAUGAGUCCAAAUUGAUGGCAUCCAUUUUCAGAAAGCAGAUGCUGCCCUCUUUUGCAUUGGUGCAAUUCCGGAAAAGAACCACGUCAGUGAAGUACUUCCAAACUUAUCUCCAAUGAAAGCAAAAUUGGACCACAGUCUCAUCAUUUGCUUACAUGCGUUGGUGCUCUAGGAAGGUGCACUACUACCACACUCUUUCUCCUGCAGAUUUCUAUGUUGAAGAGGAAAGCUUCCAAUCCAGGGAUUACAAACAGUGAGUAAGCCAGUGGAGAUAUGAAGGCUGGCUUAUGGUUUUCCAAAAAAUCAUAGCAAAUACUGAUUUCUUGAAGUUUGGUAAGUCAGAGAAUCUGUAAAUUAGAUAAUUUACAGGAAGAGACAGAUAUCUGCAAGAGCUGUGCUAAGUGAAACUAUGACAAGUUGUUACAUUUUAUUGUGUGGUGUAUAAUCACAGCAAGGUUUACUGUUUUGAUUCUCCUCUUAGUUUUAUAUUGUUGGAUUUGAUUGGGAUGUUGCUUACAAUGGAGAUGUUCCACUGACAGAAUGGAGAGGAAGUACAGAGGACAUAUUCAAUAUCUGAGAUCUUGGAUCUCAUUUUUUUUCACUGUGUACAUUAAUAAUUCAACAAAUGUUUAGAAAUUGUAAAAUACAGUCGUAGAAUCAUAAUACGGUUUCAAAAUCACUGAUUUGAAAGGGACCCUUAAAGGCCACCUGGUCCAACCCCCUUGCAAUGAAUAGCAAAACCUACAGCUUGAUCAGGUGCUCGUGCAGCCUGACUUUGAGUGUCUCCUAGGAUGGGGCAUCUAGCACCUCUUUGGGCAACCUGUGCCAAACUUGUUAGCAUGAACUGCUCUGAACUCAACCUACUGAGAGCAAGUCAACAGGCACUUGGAUUCCUACUGCUAUCACCAUCUGCUUGAAACAGGCCUUCAGAGCUGCCUCCACAGCCCCAACUCUCAUGUAGAGAAAAAGGGCCUACAAAUUUCCUGAUAGCAAAAAAUCCAUGCUCCUCUAUGGUUUCUAAAUUUAUUUACUAAGACCCCUUAAUAGUGAACAAGACUCUUCUUGCACUAAAUAAAUUGCAUGGUUAAGGUAUGUAACGUCAACUGCAUGUCCAAAGUGAGGAUUAUGUAAAAACAGUCUCAAUAAUUAAAAUGAAUAUAGCAUAAACAGGUUUUUUGUUUGAGUUUACCAUGAUGCAUUUUCUUGAAGUGUUUGAAAAUCCAAAAGCACAAGUCUAAAUGUUUCUGAUCUCCUUUCAACAAAUGUUCUAUACAAACAAAGCAACUGCAUGAA